RNAcentral lists this ribosomal RNA (198 nucleotides) under Triticum aestivum (bread wheat). RNAcentral describes it as "partial small subunit ribosomal RNA". Lineage: Eukaryota; Viridiplantae; Streptophyta; Magnoliopsida; Poales; Poaceae. The record is from RNAcentral.
AUGGAGAAGGGGAAGGCCCCAGCGGAGGCAGCGGAGUCGGCGGCGGCGUGUGCGGCGCGGCUGGCGCGUGAGUGGAGCACUUGGGCGAUGAAGAACGCGAAGGUGGUCGCGCACUACGGCUUCAUCCCCCUCGUCAUCCUCGUCGGCAUGAGGUCCGAGCCCAAGCCCAGCCUCGCGCAGCUCCUCUCCCCCGUGUAG